CCUCUCAUUUUUCAACUCUGCCAAGCAAUUGAUGAAAAGAAAAUUACUUCUUUUUCAAUUUUCCCAUCUUUCUUAUCAAGCACAUUAAUGGAAAAUGUAUUUUUUUCUUUCUAUUUUUCUGCUUCUUCAAUGUUCCAUAUUUCUAAAUUUUCUUUUCACCAAUUGCUUGGCAGAGUUGAAAAAUGAGAGGA
This 191-nucleotide microRNA precursor is filed under the name Gossypium raimondii (Peruvian cotton). RNAcentral's name for it is "miR8767a stem-loop (gra-MIR8767a)". Lineage: Eukaryota; Viridiplantae; Streptophyta; Magnoliopsida; Malvales; Malvaceae. The record is from miRBase by way of RNAcentral.